RNAcentral lists this ribosomal RNA (454 nucleotides) under uncultured bacterium. Its description in RNAcentral is "bacterial SSU rRNA". It matches the Rfam family "Bacterial small subunit ribosomal RNA", at positions 29 to 524 of the family's 1533-position model. The record is from RNAcentral.
AACGAACGCUGGCGGCAUGCUUAACACAUGCAAGUCGAACGGGAUGCUUCGGCAUUCAGUGGCGGACGGGUGAGUAACACGUGGGAACUUGUCCUCGGGUGGGGAACAACCGCUGGAAACGGCGGCUAAUACCGCAUGAACCCUGAGGGGCAAAGGCUUCGGCCGCCUGAGGAGGGGCCCGCGUCCGAUUAGCUUGUUGGUGGGGUAACGGCCUACCAAGGCGUCGAUCGGUAGCUGGUCUGAGAGGACGAUCAGCCACACUGGGACUGAGACCCGGCCCAGACUCCUACGGGAGGCAGCAGUGGGGAAUAUUGGACAAUGGGCGAAAGCCUGAUCCAGCAAUGCCGCGUGAGUGAUGAAGGCCUUAGGGUUGUAAAGCUCUUUCGCCUGAGACGAUGAUGACGGUAUCAGGAGAAGAAGCCCCGGCUAAUUCCGUGCCAGCAGCCGCGGUAAU